AUGAGCUUCACAGGUAACUGGAGCAGCAGAAGUCCUCAGCUUGUCUUGUCUUCUCCCCAGGCCCUGACCGGGGCAGUCAGCACCAUUAAGUUCCUCUCUGAGGCUUUCCUGGGUCGCCACUUCGAGGCCGUGGAGUUGGAGGGCAGCGAGCCUGAGCCAGGAGACCUCUUCCCGUUCAGGCUGUUGUCCCCCACCGGACGCUGUGCGGGGCCCACGUGGGUGUGUACUGUGGCCACGGGGAGAUCAUCCACUUUGAAGGUGAGCAUCUCCGGCUGGGACACCAGUGGGUGGGGCAACGAGAACAAAAACCGGGUUCCAUGCUGGAGGUGCGGGUCUCUGAAGAUGGGCGACCCGGCACGGCACGCAGGGUGCAGGGCUCUGGGCCCCCAGGGCCUCGGAGAUUUGGCUGCANGCGAGAACAAAAACCGGGUUCCAUGCUGGAGGUGUGGGUCUCUGAAGAUGGGCGACCCGGCACGCAGGGUGCAGGGCUCUGGGCCCCCAGGGCCUCGGAGAUUUGGCUGCAGGAUCAAGGCUGAUCUGCGCCCACUGGGCGACCCCUGCAGGGAGGAAUGUCGCAGGCCAAGGGCCUCACCCGUUUCUGGGCUCCUAUGAAGGCAUCGUAUCCAAACAGGGGCAGCGCCCAAUGCUGCGCUCCCGCUCACUGUGGCGUGCGCUGCGUAGACGUGGGGGCGUGGACCGCGUGGCUCUGGAGCGCCGCAUGCGGGAGGCAGUGGAUGCGGACCCGCCCCCAUAUCACCCCCACGAGCAGCAACUGCNGCUGUGGCGUGGACCGCGUGGCUCUGGAGCACAGCAUGUGGGAGGCAGUGGAUGCGGACCCGCCCCCAUAUCACCCCCACGAGCAGCAACUGCGUGCACUUUGCGCGGAGUCCGCUGGGCCGCAUGCCCAUCCUGGACCCCCUGCAAAUAGAUAGCGGUCCUAUUAACUCGGUGAGUGCUGCCCAGCUACCCUUGCACCACCUCACCUCACCUCCCAAGCCAGUUAACAAAUGCUGCUAACCAGUGUGCUCCUGCAAAAUUCACACUUUCCCUCCCAGCCCGGGCCACGUUCCUCAAGCACAAGGUCCACUUUACUCUGGCAGACC
Molecule: long non-coding RNA, 1103 nt
Organism: Vulpes vulpes (red fox)
Lineage: Eukaryota; Metazoa; Chordata; Mammalia; Carnivora; Canidae
Source: Ensembl